Molecule: long non-coding RNA, 329 nt
Filed under: Homo sapiens (human)
Lineage: Eukaryota; Metazoa; Chordata; Mammalia; Primates; Hominidae
Description: non-protein coding LINC02453:22
Source: RNAcentral
CUUCACCUUGCCCUUUCCUAGCCUCUGUGAGGAAACUGAGGCACUGGAAGAUGAAGGCUACAGAGGUAGAAAGUGAUGGAGUGAUGCCUGGAGACGGGAAUGUCUGGAAUCUUAGAGGAAGGAAUCACACACCGACAAGCAUGGCAGGCUUAGUCUUUGAAACUUAAUCAGAGCCUGAGAUACAUCCAGAAGACUGCAUUACAAUUUCAAAUCAAAGCUGGACAAGUUUUUUUUUUUUUUUACACAGAUAUCACCAUGUUAGAAAAGUUGGACAAGUUUUGAAACCAUUCUGAACCUAUCAUUCCUGUCUUUCAAAUCCUUCCAAGGCA